AAAUCCAGAGAAAGACAAAUGAAAUGGGUGCCAAUAAAUCCUCAAGGCUGCAGAGAUAAAAGAAAAGAAUGAAAAUCCAGGAUGCAACAAUCUAUUCUACUAUCUAAUCUCCCUUUUUCCACUCUUUGUUUUCAUUUUUUUUUAAUGCUGCUCUGAGAGAUCCAAAAUUAGACAUGAAUUUUCUUGAAGGUUAAGUCUUCUUUUUGCAUUUGUUUCCAGGACACACCUGACCCUCACAUACAAGAAACACUGCCUUCUGCAGGGAAAAGAUUCAACAAUUCCAAGUCCGUCAUCUAAGAUCCUUUACUCUCUUUUCUCUACAAGAUAAGAAUAAAAUUCAAUCACGGACCUAAGUAGGUAUAAUAGACAUUAAUAUAAAUCUUUUAAAUACUAAUACUCUUUCCUAUAAACAUCUAUUCAAUAAGGCUAAAAGAUGAAAAUAAAAUCAAAAAUUUGCUUUUUGUCAUUCUGGUAAUGCUGUUCUUCAUCAUAGACAAUAACUUGGAGAUAACUUCAAGCCAGAGAUGGUAGCUUUGCUCAUAGUUGCUUUGGAUGGUAAUCAAAUGAGACUUUCGUUUAUGUCACAGAUGGAAGCUUGCAAGUCAAAACAUUCAAAAGAAAUGAAGAUUUCUACAUACCCAAGAACUAAUGAGCUAGCCAGUGAGUGAGUCAUUAUCCAUUUAUGUCACAGAUGGAAGCUUCUAAGUCAAAACAUUCAGAAGAAAUGAAGAUUUCUACAUACCCAAGAACCACUCAGCUAGCCAGUGAGUGAGUCAUCAUCCCUCACUUGGCCUGCUCUUUGGCUCCAUACUGGCUUCUUGGCUCCUGUUCUUUACCUGCUACAGUUUUUGUCCACAUAGUAGCCAGAAUGAUUCUAUUGAAAUGAAACAGACUAUGUCAUUUAAGCUCAAAAACCUCGAACAACUUUUCAUCUCACUCAGAAUACUAUGAUUGUGUGGAACCCAUAUUAUAUGACCUCUGGCUAACUUGAUUGAAUUUAUACCUCACCAUUCUUUCCUUCUCAAAGUUCACUCCAUCAGCCCUGACUUUUUGGUGGUGAAACCAAGUAUGCUUCCAUUCACUGCCUCUGCACCUACAUAGCUUCUGCUUGUGAAGCUCUUCCUGGAGACAUUUACUUGGCUCACACUCUCCAAUCAAGUCUUUGUUAGAAUGUCCCUUAUUUGCGUGUUGCUCCUACCUAAUCUUUAUAAAAUGGCACCCUUUGCAUCACUCUCCAUCCCUUAACCAUUUUUUCCUAGCUUUUUUUUUUUCCCACAGCAUUUGUCAUCAUUGGAAAUACUGCAUAACCAUUUAUUGUCUAUCAUUGCCAAUUACAAUGUGAGUUCCAUGACAUUUGGAACUUCCUUUUGCUUGUUGCUAUGUCCCAGAACCUAGAGCAGUGUCUGAUACUUGAUAGGGAUUAAAUAACUCCUUAGUCUUGAUCAUGCACAGAGAAGCACAUAUGUCUCAGAUAAUCUCAGCUAAGAGCAGACUGAAGUCUCCUAAUAUUAGAACCAUUACCGACUUUUGUACUUUUCUAGGAACUAGUAUUUAGCAAAAUAAACAAAAUAUCGAAAAGCAAAAACAAAACUAAUGAAAGAAUAAUGUCACUACGCUUUCUCCAGCAUUUCAUUCAAACACAAUUAUAACUGGGGCAAAAUAGUAUUUACCCUCCAAGAUGCCUCUAUGUUAGAGUCAACUAAAAUUCACUUUUUAAGAAAGCUCAAGACCCUACUCUCUUCCUUCAAAAUGUUUUCUAUGAAUCACUUGCAAUUUGAUAUAUUAACAAAAGAAACAAAUUAAAAUUUACAUUAUACCACUUCUGGGCACUGGGGACAAAGCUUUCAAUUUUGAUGUAAUUGACUAUGCUGUGAUUCUUUGGAUGCUAGAUGACGAGUUAGUGGGUGCAGCACACCAGCAUGGCACAUGUAUACAUAUGUAACUAACCUGCACAUUGUGCACAUGUACCCUAAAACUUAAAGUAUAAUAAUAAUUAAAAAAUUAAUUAAUUAAAAAAAAUUAAAGAAAAUUAAAAAAAAA
This 2040-nucleotide long non-coding RNA is filed under the name Homo sapiens (human). Its description in RNAcentral is "non-protein coding lnc-ALCAM-9:1". Lineage: Eukaryota; Metazoa; Chordata; Mammalia; Primates; Hominidae. The record is from RNAcentral.